This is a long non-coding RNA of Myotis myotis, 3749 nucleotides long. RefSeq lists it as uncharacterized. Lineage: Eukaryota; Metazoa; Chordata; Mammalia; Chiroptera; Vespertilionidae. The record is from RefSeq and is a predicted model, not a curated record. The transcript is spliced from 7 exons.
GCAUAUUAGCUUUUUAUUAUAUAAGAUUCCUCUUCAUCCUGGCAAUAUUCUUUGUUUGAAAUCUGUGUUAAUAAAGCAGGUAUGAAUAUGGUGAUUUCAGCUUUCUUUUGAUUAAUGUUAGUAUAGUAUAUCUUUUUAUCUCCUUAUACUUUUCACCUGUGUCUUUAUAUUUAGCCUGUCUGUGUCUGUGUGCAUGUAGACAGCAGAUAGUUGGGUUUUGUUUUUGUUGUUCGAUUCAGUCUGACAAUCUCCACCUUUAAUUUGGAGGUUUUUUAAAAAAAGAAUAUUUUAUGUAGUUAUGAUUUGUUUAGGUUUAAUUCUACCAUCUUAUUUUAGGUUUCUCUUAGUUCUAUAAGUUCUUUGUGUCCUUUCCCCCUUUUUUCUGUCUUAUUUUAAGUUAGGUUGUUGUUGUCAUUUUAAUGAAUCCCUGUUAUCUCCACUCCAGGCUUACUAGCUACAUCUAUUGGUUAUUUUAUAAUGGCUGCUCUAGAUUUAUACACAUUUAACUGUUUGUAGCCAAACUUCAAGUAAUAUACUACUUACAUAGCGUGUAAGGUCCUUGAAACAAUGAACUGCCAUUUCUUUCUUCUAAUUCUCAUUUCUGUUUUACCUCUGCAUGUUAUAAACCCAAUAAUAAGUUAUUGUUAUUUUGUUUUAAAUAUUCAUUAUCUUUUAAAAAGAUUAAAAAUGAGAAUAAAAAUCUUUAAUAUUUAUCUCUAUAUGGAUCAUUUCCAGCUCUUCAUUCCUUUGUUUAAGUUCAAAUGUCCAUCUAGUAUCAUUCUCUUUCUGUUUGAUGAACUUUCUUUUAACAUUUCUUACACUUGCAACUCUGAUGGUAGUAAAUUCUUUUAGCUUUUGUUGGUAAAGUCUCUAUUUUCACUUUUGAAAGACAUUCGUACUAGGUAUAGAAUUCCGGGAUAAUAUCUUCCCGUAUUAAGGAUGUUUCUCCAUUGUCUUCUGUCCUGCAUAGUUUCUGAAAAGCAGUUUAUUUUCAUUCUCUCUAUUCCUUUUAACUAAUGUCUUUAUCUGACUGCUUUCAUUUUUUUUUCUUUAUCACUCACUGGUUUUGAUGUGGUGUGCCUUUCUGUGGUUUUCUUUAUAUUUAUUCUAUUUAGGGUUUGUUAAGUUUUCUUGGGUCUGUGGGAUCGUUGUUUUCCUCAAAAUUUAAAAAAAAAAAAUUAGCCAUAAUUUUUCAAUUAUUUUUUCUGUGCUCUCCCUCUCUCUUUUUGAUUCUAGUUACACGUUAGACAACCUAAUAUUGCCUCCGUAAUCUGUUAAUUUGUUUUUCAGUCUCUGUGUUUUAUUUUUGAUAAUUUUUAUUGUAUCUUAAAGUUGACUGAUUGUCUAUAAUGUCUAAUCUGCUAUUAACCUCAUCCAGUGUACUUUUUAUUUCAGAUAUAAAUGUUACUGGAUUUGCUUUGUAUCUAUUUCUCUGCUUCCUUUUGUUCUACCUUCUUACUACGUGAAGUAUAUUUAUAAUAAAUUUUUAACAGCUUUAUUGAGACAUAAUUCACAUUGGUAUCUAUUUACCCAUCUAAAGUGUAUAAGUCAGUGGUUUUUAGUACAUUAAUAGAAUUGUGCUGCUAUCGCCACAGUAUAAUUUUGGAACAUUUUCAUCACCCCACAGGGAAACUUUGUACCCAUUAGCAGUCACUCCCCAUUCUGUCUCACUUAUCUGCAGCCCAGGCAGCCACUAAUCUCUCUUGUCUCUAAAGAUUUGGCUAUUUAGGACACUUCAUAUAAUGCAAUCAUAUAGUACAGUAUCAGUAUAACUUUAGAACAUUUUCAUCACCACACAAAGAAACUUUGUACCCAUUAGCAGUCACUCCCCAUUGUGUCUCAUCUCCAGCCAGGCAACCACUAAUCUCUCUGUCUCUAAAGAUUUGGCAAUAUUUAGGACACUUCAUGUAAAUGAAAUAAUAUAGUAUGGGGUCUUUUGUGACUAUUUUCUUUCGCUUAGCAUAACGUUUCCAAGGUUCAUCCAGGUUGUAGCAUGUAUCAGUGCUUCAUUCCUUUUUAUUGCUGAAUAAUAUUCCAUUACAUGGAUAUACCACAUGUUAAUCAUUCAUAAGUUGAUGGACAUUUGGAAUGCUUUUACUUUUUGGCUAUUAUGAGUACAACUGGUAGGAAUAUUUGUGUACAGGUUUUUGUGUGGACCUAUAUUUUCAUUUCUUUUGGGGAUUCUGCCUAUAUAUCAAAGGCAUAGUACCUUAUACUUUCUAACCUAAGUCCCUGAAUAAUGUCACUUCAUUAUCAUGUUGAUGAGAGGUGGUAAGAACUUAACUCUUGUUUAUAUCAAUUAGCCUGUAGUAAAAUCGGUUUCAUUAUAUGUCGUUUAGCUUAAAGCCACAGACCCUUUUGACGGCAUUAAGAGAAGACUUACUAUAGCUAGGAGGAAUUUCUGGGUCAUAUUGUAACUUUGAGUUUAACCAUUUGAGGAACUGCCAAACUUUUCCAAAGAAGCUACACGAGUUUACUAACUUGUUUAAUGCUCUUGUUUGCUAAUUGUUGGUCAUUUGUGCACCUGUUUCUAUGGAUUGAUUUUUUUCCUCCUGGUUAUGGGUUAUUUUUUUUACUUUGCAUUCCCGAUAAUUUUUGCUUGGGUGCCAGACACACAUUGUUCGGUGCUAGGUUUUGUUGUAUUUCUUUAAAUAGUGCUGGACUUCGUUCUGGCGUGCAGUUAAGGUACUGGGACUUAGUUGUGUCAUUUUGAAGCUAGCCUUUAGGCUUUGUUAGGGUGGGUCCAAAGCAGCCUUUAGUUUAGGGAUGACUGGGCUUUAAUACUAAGGUGAUAGCUUUCUGAGGAUUUUAAUCUGAUGCCAUGUGUAUUACGAAUUAUUUCCACUUUUGCCUCUGGAAGCAUGAACUAUUACCAGCCCUGUGUGAACUCUGGGACUUCUUAGACAAACCGUUUUCUGUUGCUUCUCUCCCUGACUUUAGGUAGUCUCCUCUCACGCAGAUCAGAACUCAAGCCAAGGGUCUCAGGGACCUCUGGGGUCCCCCUCCUCCCAGGAGGGAGGCAGUUUCUUUAGGAGGAAAAUAUGUGGUGUCCUUUGCAGAUGGAAGGGGCUGUGCAUGUUUGAAGGCAUCAUGCUUUCCUGGUGGAAUUGGGACCAUUUGAAUUAAGAAGUCAUGUUUCCGAGUCAGAGGAUGAGAACACCAAGUUGUUACUUAUUUUGGAAAGAACUAAUCAUUUGUUUACAGUAAAAAAUAGAGAACCACCUACAAGUUGUGUUGGUUUGUCCAAUGGAAUUAGAAGUAAUGGAGAAAUUUGUAUUCCUCAGUGAAAAUAUGGCAGGUAGGAGUCCUGUGCCACCAAGAUCCUGAAAUCUGGAUUGUUUGUAUACUGCGACAGAGCAUGAGAGAAUGAAAGGGAGGAGGGGAGACAGAGAUAGAGAAACAUCGAUGUGAGAGACACUUUGAUUAGUUGCCCUGACGGGGGCCAAGGAUCGAGCCUGCAACCGAAGUCUAUUGAUGUGAACUAGUGAAGAUCCUAGGUUGCUAAUAGGACCACAGUUAAAAGGGCAUUUGUGUGGUUGUUCUUCCUUGGUAGACAGCCGGUUAAAAGCGGAUGGGGCUAGGGUUGCAGAGAGGAAGCUGCUCGGAGCAGGCUUGGAGGAGAGGAAGUAGCCUGAGUCUAUUCAGUGUCAGAGCACACUUCAGUAUGACCCUGGGCAUCCAGUGUCCAUUACACCCAGCGCACUCUUUUAAAAUGGCUAACAUUUCAAUGUUUUGGCAUUGAAAAGUAA